RNAcentral lists this ribosomal RNA (194 nucleotides) under uncultured eukaryote. Its description in RNAcentral is "partial 18S ribosomal RNA". It matches the Rfam family "Eukaryotic small subunit ribosomal RNA", at positions 1 to 201 of the family's 1831-position model. The record is from RNAcentral.
UAAACCUGGUUGAUCCUGCCAGUAGUCAUAUGCUUGUCUUAAAGAUUAACCCAUGCAUGUGUAAGUAUAGUAUUCUACAGCGAAACUGCGAAUGGCUCAUUAAAACAGUUAUAGUUUAUUUGAUGGAUCAAGAUAUGGAUAACCGUAGUAAUUCUAGAGCUAAUACAUGCGUGAAAGCCCAACUCAAGAAGGGC